AGAGAGGUUGGCGCGGGUAAGCGUCUCGCCAACCCGGUCAGAUCCGGAAGGAAGCAGCCGUAACGAGCCUAGCUUGGGUCGUUGUCCAAUCUCUCACCU
This 99-nucleotide signal recognition particle RNA is filed under the name Paracoccaceae bacterium. RNAcentral describes it as "Rhodobacteraceae bacterium signal recognition particle sRNA small type". It matches the Rfam family "Bacterial small signal recognition particle RNA". From Rfam's summary of the family: The signal recognition particle (SRP) is a universally conserved ribonucleoprotein involved in the co-translational targeting of proteins to membranes. The record is from RNAcentral. RNAcentral also lists the same sequence under 1 other name. Lineage: Bacteria; Pseudomonadati; Pseudomonadota; Alphaproteobacteria; Rhodobacterales; Paracoccaceae.